GACGGAGGGUGCUAGCGUUGUUCGGAAUUACUGGGCGUAAAGGGCGCGUAGGCGGCCUGAUCAGUCGGGUGUGAAAGCCCGGGGCUCAACCCCGGAACGGCACCCGAGACGGUCAGGCUGGAGACCGGGAGAGGAGGGUGGAAUAGCCAGUGUAGAGGUGAAAUUCGUAGAUAUUGGCUGGAACACCGGUGGCGAAAGCGGCUCUCUGGCCCGGUUCUGACGCUGAGGCGCGAAAGCGUGGGGAGCAAACAGG
RNAcentral lists this ribosomal RNA (253 nucleotides) under uncultured bacterium. Its description in RNAcentral is "partial 16S ribosomal RNA". It matches the Rfam family "Bacterial small subunit ribosomal RNA", at positions 524 to 776 of the family's 1533-position model. The record is from RNAcentral.